GGCCAGUUAGCUCAAUCAGUUGAGCGUGGCGCUAACGCUGCCAAGGUCACAGGUUUGAUUCCUGGUCAGUCCC
Non-coding RNA from Apaloderma vittatum (bar-tailed trogon), 73 nucleotides. Lineage: Eukaryota; Metazoa; Chordata; Aves; Trogoniformes; Trogonidae. The record is from Rfam.